UUCCUCUUUCUCGGGUGGAGUUUCGGGCGGUGAAGGCGUGUGUGCGGGUGCUCCGCGCUCAUUGUAGUACAAUUUCGCUCUAGGAGGCAGCAGAAUGCUUAAAUUGUGCCCUGGUAUGGGUAGGUUGUUACAGAGAGUACUGUACUCACCAGAAAAGUCACUGGUUGCCUUGAAGAUAAAUUGUAAAGAAAACUGCAUUAAAUGUGGGCUGAGAACCAUGAUACCAAGCCAAGCAGGCAGACCUUUCCAUACUGGUGAAGUUUUGGGCAAGGAGGAUGGUCGCAGAGCUGUGAAAGUGCCCAAACCUGAUGAUGGAACUGAGGGUGAAGCAAGCAUUAGUCUGGACUACAGGCUAUCAGACAGCACAUUCCCAGAUGAAAAUACUCCCAAUAUCCUGGUGGAAGGGGUGAAGUUCUCAGACCUGCCGAUUUGCAGUGUGAGGGUCUCAAAGAACAACACAGUGUUCUCAAUUUCUACAUCUCAAGGGCUUGUGAAGAUGAUACGUUCCUGUGGAAUGGAGGGUUUUAAGAACACCAAGAAAGGUACAAAUGUUGCUGCUCAGGCAACUGGAAUUGCAAUGGCUGUGAGAGCCUUGAACAAAGGCUACAAGAAUGUCCGGGUGCUGAUUCGAGGCCUGGGGCCAGGGCGCAUGGUAAGUACAUGACAUGCAGAGAAGUGAGAUAUAUGUGAAGCUCAAUUCAUGUGUACACACCAUGCUGUGUAAUUGCGGUUGUAAGCGCGCUGAGUGUUUUUAAACAGUAACAUCAGUGGAGUUCAUUUCAUCACAUGCUGUGCUCAAAAUGUAGGUAAAUGUGUAUCCACCCAACAAGAUAUCACUACACUGCUGAUUGUCAUGACCUGAAUGAAAUUGGAAUAGUAUUUAUUUCUUCCUAUGUGUAAAUAAUUGA
Molecule: long non-coding RNA, 908 nt
Filed under: Pollicipes pollicipes
Lineage: Eukaryota; Metazoa; Arthropoda; Thecostraca; Pollicipedomorpha; Pollicipedidae
Description: uncharacterized LOC119095989, transcript variant X1
Source: RNAcentral